GGCGUAGUCUAACCGGGGAUGUGACGCUAAGUUAUUGAUUUAAAAGGAUUUAAGUGUCACAAAUCAACGAUAGCGAAUUCAAAUAUUUGGGGAUUGAAAAUCCUUGUGUCGGUGGUUCGAUUCCGCCCCAGGCCACCA
This 138-nucleotide transfer RNA is filed under the name Rhodoferax sp. RNAcentral's name for it is "tRNA-OTHER". Lineage: Bacteria; Pseudomonadati; Pseudomonadota; Betaproteobacteria; Burkholderiales; Comamonadaceae. The record is from RNAcentral.